AUGUCAAGACGAAGAGGUGGCCAGAGGAGGAAGGCCAUGGAGGAGGCGAAGGGGUCGCGAGGAGGAGGCAAGAUGGCGUGGCGGCGGCCUGGUUUUGCGGUGGCUGGCGGCGGAUGCAAGGCGACGAGGAUGAGGCAAAGGGGACGGGAUAAGGGCACGACUGCUGACUGGUGCGAGGGCACAGUGGAGAGCUCGGCUUGGAGGCAGAGCACGGAGCAGCAACAGAUCGGGGCAGAUGGGAGCAGGUCCAAGCGGCGCUUGGUGAGGUGCAGGCGAGGACGAGGUGGAUCAGGAGAGAUGAGAGGUGGCGACGCAGGGGAUCGGGCGCAGGGAGCUCCUCUCCCUGGCUCGAUGUGUGCGAGUGGCGGCGGUCAGGAGGGAGAUGGAGAUCGAGAGGAGAGCGAGGGAUCGGGCUAG
RNAcentral lists this ribosomal RNA (417 nucleotides) under Triticum aestivum (bread wheat). Its description in RNAcentral is "partial small subunit ribosomal RNA". Lineage: Eukaryota; Viridiplantae; Streptophyta; Magnoliopsida; Poales; Poaceae. The record is from RNAcentral.